AACCUGAGAGUUUGAUCCUGGCUCAGAACGAACGCUGGCGGCAUGCCUAACACAUGCAAGUCGAACGAAGGCUUCGGCCUUAGUGGCGCACGGGUGAGUAACACGUGGGAACCUGCCUU
Molecule: ribosomal RNA, 119 nt
Filed under: Azospirillum brasilense
Lineage: Bacteria; Pseudomonadati; Pseudomonadota; Alphaproteobacteria; Rhodospirillales; Azospirillaceae
Description: partial 16S ribosomal RNA
Rfam family: Bacterial small subunit ribosomal RNA
Source: RNAcentral